Molecule: long non-coding RNA, 423 nt
Organism: Hibiscus syriacus
Lineage: Eukaryota; Viridiplantae; Streptophyta; Magnoliopsida; Malvales; Malvaceae
Exons: 3
Source: RefSeq, a predicted model, not a curated record
AUAUUGACUGGUGGCAGCACUUUGUUCCCAAGAUUUGUUGAGAGACUGUAAGCUCCUUCACUUCACAUCGGCCUGUAGUAAUAUCAUUUUUUAGCUUCCACUUUGAUUUACACUCAUUUUUCAAUGCCAAACUCUCAGGGAUAAGGAUCUCCGCCCUCUAGUUACAGAUGACUCCCAAAUCAACAUAACAACUCAAGAAGAUCCAAUCCUAGGAGUGUGGCGAGGGGGUUCACUUUUGGCAUCUAGUCCCGACUAUGAAUCAAUGCAUAUCACUAAGGCAGAGUAUGAGGAGCUUGGAUCUGCGCGAUGUCGUAAGAGAUUCUUCCGUUGAAUAUUCAAGAUCUGGAAGAGCUUUUUGAUGCCACCGUUCACUGGAUAUCAUCUGGCUCUUAUGGACUGCUAACGAAAUGGUUUGGCGGCUUA